GACGAACGCUGGCGGCGUGCUUAACACAUGCAAGUCGAACGAAGUGGCGCACGGGUGAGUAACGCGUAAUCAACCUGCACUUCAGAGGGGGACAACAGUUGGAAACGACUGCUAAUACCGCAUACUGAAGGAUGGGAUUGCGUCUGAUUAGCUAUUUGGAGGGGUAACGGCCCACCACGGAGAUGCUCAGUAGCCGGUCUUGGAGGAUGAACGGCCACAUUGGGACUGAGACACGGCCCAGACUCCUACGGGAGGCAGCAGUGGGGAAUGUUCCGAAAUGGACGAAAGUCUGACGGAGCAACGCCGCGUGAGUGAUGACGGCCUUCGGGUUGUAAAGCUCUGUUAAUCGGGACGCGGUACCGGAAUAGAAAGCCACGGCUAACUACGUGCCAGCAGCCGCGGUAAUUC
This 408-nucleotide ribosomal RNA is filed under the name uncultured bacterium. Its description in RNAcentral is "partial 16S ribosomal RNA". It matches the Rfam family "Bacterial small subunit ribosomal RNA", at positions 28 to 526 of the family's 1533-position model. The record is from RNAcentral.